AUGGGAGGUUUGAAUGAAAGAAAUGCUAGAGUCUUCAGGAAGAUUUCUACCUUGCCAAUGACUAUCUUUGUUGGAAUCAAAUCUGAGGCCAAACUGUGGCGUAUUGCAAAGGCUAAACACCUAAGGUACAUGAUGUCGGGAGAGUUAUUUGUUGUAGUGUGGCUUGAUAACCCACAAGUAUAG
Molecule: ribosomal RNA, 183 nt
Filed under: Triticum aestivum (bread wheat)
Lineage: Eukaryota; Viridiplantae; Streptophyta; Magnoliopsida; Poales; Poaceae
Description: partial small subunit ribosomal RNA
Source: RNAcentral